CCUACGGGUGGCAGCAGUGAGGAAUAUUGGUCAAUGGGCGAGAGCCUGAACCAGCCAAGUAGCGUGAAGGAUGAAGGCCCUAUGGUUUGUAAACUUCUUUUAUAUAGGAAUAAAGUGAGGCACGUGUUCCUUUUUGUAUGUACCUUAUGAAUAAGCAUCGGCUAACUCCGUGCCAGCAGCCGCGGUAAUACGGAGGGUGCGAGCGUUAUCCGGAUUUAUUGGGUUUAAAGGGUGCGUAGGUGGUUAGUUAAGUCAGCGGUGAAAGUUUGUGGCUCAACCAUAAAAUUGCCGUUGAAACUGGUAGACUUGAGUAUAUUUGAGGUAGGCGGAAUGCGUGGUGUAGCGGUGAAAUGCAUAGAUAUCACGCAGAACUCCGAUUGCGAAGGCAGCUUACUAAACUGUAACUGACACUGAGGCACGAAAGCGUGGGGAUCAAACAGGAUUAGAUACCCGAGUAGUC
This 460-nucleotide ribosomal RNA is filed under the name uncultured bacterium. RNAcentral's name for it is "partial 16S ribosomal RNA". It matches the Rfam family "Bacterial small subunit ribosomal RNA", at positions 338 to 795 of the family's 1533-position model. The record is from RNAcentral.